This 78-nucleotide microRNA precursor is filed under the name Alligator mississippiensis (American alligator). Its description in RNAcentral is "mir-103/107 microRNA precursor family". It matches the Rfam family "mir-103/107 microRNA precursor family". Rfam says of the family: This family consists of the mammalian microRNA (miRNA) precursors mir-103 and mir107. Lineage: Eukaryota; Metazoa; Chordata; Crocodylia; Alligatoridae. The record is from Rfam by way of RNAcentral. RNAcentral also lists the same sequence under 2 other names.
CUGUGCUUUCAGCUUCUUUACAGUGCUGCCUUGUUGCAUUUAUGUCAAGCAGCAUUGUACAGGGCUAUGAAAGAACAG